UGGCUCAGGACGAACGCUGGCGGCGUGCCUAAUACAUGCAAGUCGAACGCUUCCUACCGGUGCUUGGCACCGGGAAAGAAGAGUGGCGGACGGGUGAGUAACACGUGGGUAACCUACCUACAAGCGGGGGAUAACAUUCGGAAACGGAUGCUAAUACCGCAUAGAUCUUUUUGUCUCCUGGCAGAAAGAAGAAAGACGGUUUCGGCUGUCACUUGUAGAUGGACCCGCGGCGCAUUAGUUAGUUGGUGAGGUAAUGGCUCACCAAGACGAUGAUGCGUAGCCGACCUGAGAGGGUGAUCGGCCACACUGGGACUGAGACACGGCCCAGACUCCUACGGGAGGCAGCAGUAGGGAAUCUUCCGCAAUGGACGAAAGUCUGACGGAGCAACGCCGCGUGAGUGAAGAAAAGGUUUUCGGAUCGUAAAACUCUGUUGUUAGAGAAGAACAAGGAUGAGAGUAACUGCUCGUCCCUUGACGGUAUCUAACCAGAAAGCCAUGGCUAGCUACGUGCCAGCCGCCGC
This 521-nucleotide ribosomal RNA is filed under the name uncultured bacterium. Its description in RNAcentral is "bacterial SSU rRNA". It matches the Rfam family "Bacterial small subunit ribosomal RNA", at positions 20 to 518 of the family's 1533-position model. The record is from RNAcentral.